GACGAACGCUGGCGGCGUGCCUAAUACAUGCAAGUAGAACGCUGAAGAGAGGAGCUUGCUCUUCUUGGAUGAGUUGCGAACGGGUGAGUAACGCGUAGGUAACCUGCCUUGUAGCGGGGGAUAACUAUUGGAAACGAUAGCUAAUACCGCAUAACAAUGGAUGACACAUGUCAUUUAUUUGAAAGGGGCAAUUGCUCCACUACAAGAUGGACCUGCGUUGUAUUAGCUAGUAGGUGAGGUAACGGCUCACCUAGGCGACGAUACAUAGCCGACCUGAGAGGGUGAUCGGCCACACUGGGACUGAGACACGGCCCAGACUCCUACGGGAGGCAGCAGUAGGGAAUCUUCGGCAAUGGGGGCAACCCUGACCGAGCAACGCCGCGUGAGUGAAGAAGGUUUUCGGAUCGUAAAGCUCUGUUGUAAGUCAAGAACGAGUGUGAGAGUGGAAAGUUCACACUGUGACGGUAGCUUACCAGAAAGGGACGGCUAACUACGUGCCAGCAGCCGCGGUAAUACGUAGGUCCCGAGCGUUGUCCGGAUUUAUUGGGCGUAAAGCGAGCGCAGGCGGUUUGAUAAGUCUGAAGUUAAAGGCUGUGGCUCAACCAUAGUUCGCUUUGGAAACUGUCAAACUUGAGUGCAGAAGGGGAGAGUGGAAUUCCAUGUGUAGCGGUGAAAUGCGUAGAUAUAUGGAGGAACACCGGUGGCGAAAGCGGCUCUCUGGUCUGUAACUGACGCUGAGGCUCGAAAGCGUGGGGAGCGAACAGGAUUAGAUACCCUGGUAGUCCACGCCGUAAACGAUGAGUGCUAGGUGUUGGAUCCUUUCCGGGAUUCAGUGCCGCAGCUAACGCACUAAGCACUCCGCCUGGGGAGUACGACCGCAAGGUUGAAACUCAAAGGAAUUGACGGGGGCCCGCACAAGCGGUGGAGCAUGUGGUUUAAUUCGAAGCAACGCGAAGAACCUUACCAGGUCUUGACAUCCCGAUGCUAUUUCUAGAGAUAGAAAGUUACUUCGGUACAUCGGUGACAGGUGGUGCAUGGUUGUCGUCAGCUCGUGUCGUGAGAUGUUGGGUUAAGUCCCGCAACGAGCGCAACCCCUAUUGUUAGUUGCCAUCAUUCAGUUGGGCACUCUAGCGAGACUGCCGGUAAUAAACUGGAGGAAGGUGGGGAUGACGUCAAAUCAUCAUGCCCCUUAUGACCUGGGCUACACACGUGCUACAAUGGUUGGUACAACGAGUUGCGAGUCGGUGACGGCAAGCUAAUCUCUUAAAGCCAAUCUCAGUUCGGAUUGUAGGCUGCAACUCGCCUACAUGAAGUCGGAAUCGCUAGUAAUCGCGGAUCAGCACGCCGCGGUGAAUACGUUCCCGGGCCU
RNAcentral lists this ribosomal RNA (1369 nucleotides) under uncultured bacterium. RNAcentral describes it as "bacterial SSU rRNA". It matches the Rfam family "Bacterial small subunit ribosomal RNA", at positions 28 to 1381 of the family's 1533-position model. The record is from RNAcentral.